AGUGAACGCUGGCGGUAGGCCUAACACAUGCGAGUCGAACGGCAGCACAGUAAGAGCUUGCUCUUACGGGUGGCGAGUGGCGGACGGGUGAGGAAUACAUCGGAAUCUACUUUUUCGUGGGGGAUAACGUAGGGAAACUUACGCUAAUACCGCAUACGACCUACGGGUGAAAGCAGGGGAUCUUCGGACCUUGCGCGAUUGAAUGAGCCGAUGUCGGAUUAGCUAGUUGGCGGGGUAGAGGCCCACCAAGGCGACGAUCCGUAGCUGGUCUGAGAGGAUGAUCAGCCACACUGGAACUGAGACACGGUCCAGACUCCUACGGGAGGCAGCAGUGGGGAAUAUUGGACAAUGGGCGCAAGCCUGAUCCAGCCAUACCGCGUGGGUGAAGAAGGCCUUCGGGUUGUAAAGCCCUUUUGUUGGGAAAGAAAAGCAGCAGGUUAAUACCCCGCUGUUCUGACGGUACCCAAAGAAUAAGCACCGGCUAACUUCGUG
Molecule: ribosomal RNA, 492 nt
Filed under: uncultured bacterium
Lineage: Bacteria
Description: partial 16S ribosomal RNA
Rfam family: Bacterial small subunit ribosomal RNA
Source: RNAcentral